This 585-nucleotide ribosomal RNA is filed under the name Chirotenon longimanus. RNAcentral describes it as "partial 12S ribosomal RNA". The record is from RNAcentral. Lineage: Eukaryota; Metazoa; Arthropoda; Insecta; Coleoptera; Anthribidae.
UAGACAAAAUAAGCAAUUUAAAGUUUUUAAUUGGAGUUAAUUAGGAAGUAGAAUUAUUAGAAAAAUUUAUUGGGUGAAAUUUUAAAUUUUUUGUUUUAAAAAAUAAUAAUGAGGCUCAGAAAUUUGAGUAUAAAAACUAGGAUUAGAUACCCUAUUAUUACAAGUGUAAUUAUUAAAGUUAGAUUAUUAAAAGUUAUGUUCUUGGAAAUUAUGAAUUUUGGCGGUAUUUUAGUCUUUUCAGAGGAACCUGUUCUUUAAUUGAUAUUCCACGAGUAAUUUAAUUUUUAUUAAAAUUUUCAUAUCGUUGUCUAUAAAAUAUUUUUAUAGAAAGGUAAUAUUAAUAAUUUUUAAGGAAAGUAAAUCAAAUCAAGAUGAAGUUUAUAUAAAAAUAGAAAUGGGUUACAUUAAAUGAAUUUAUAAUGAAUUUAAUUUUGAAAUAAUUAAUGAAGGUGGAUUUGAUUGUAAUUUUUAAUUUAUUUUAAAAAUGAUUUUAGCUCUAAAAUAUGUACAUAUUGCCCGUCGCUUUCACUUUAAAGUGAAAUAAGUCGUAACAAAGUAGGUGUACUGGAAAGUGCCCCUAGAAGA